AUUGAACGCUGGCGGCAGGCCUAACACAUGCAAGUCGAACGAGUGGCGGACGGGUGAGUAAUGUCUGGGAACUGCCUGAUGGAGGGGGAUAACUACUGGAAACGGUAGCUAAUACCGCAUACUAUCGGAUAACCCAUAUGGGAUUAGCUAGUAGGUGAGGUAAUGGCUCACCUAGGCGACGAUCACUAGCUGGUCUGAGAGGAUGAUGAGCCUGACUGGGACUGAGACCCGGCCCAGACUCCUACGGAGGCAGCAGUGUGGAAUAUUGCACAAUGGGCGCAAGCCUGAUGCAGCCAGGCCGCGUGUAUGAAGAAGGCCCUAGGGUUGUAAAUUACUUUCAGUCGGGAGGCGUUACCGACAGAAGAAGCACCGGCUAACUCCGUGCCAGCCGCGGUAAUAC
Molecule: ribosomal RNA, 400 nt
Filed under: uncultured bacterium
Lineage: Bacteria
Description: partial 16S ribosomal RNA
Rfam family: Bacterial small subunit ribosomal RNA
Source: RNAcentral